GCGCCCGUAGCUCAGCUGGAUAGAGUACCUGGCUACGAACCAGGCGGUCAGAGGUUCGAAUCCUCUCGGGCGCG
This is a non-coding RNA of Aeromonas sp., 74 nucleotides long. The record is from Rfam. Lineage: Bacteria; Pseudomonadati; Pseudomonadota; Gammaproteobacteria; Aeromonadales; Aeromonadaceae.